RNAcentral lists this ribosomal RNA (880 nucleotides) under Ascochyta sp. RNAcentral's name for it is "partial large subunit ribosomal RNA". It matches the Rfam family "Eukaryotic large subunit ribosomal RNA", at positions 86 to 984 of the family's 3401-position model. Lineage: Eukaryota; Fungi; Ascomycota; Dothideomycetes; Pleosporales; Didymellaceae. The record is from RNAcentral.
ACGGCGAGUGAAGCGGCAACAGCUCAAAUUUGAAAUCUGGCGUCUUUGGCGUCCGAGUUGUAAUUUGCAGAGGGCGCUUUGGCAUUGGCAGCGGUCCAAGUUCCUUGGAACAGGACGUCACAGAGGGUGAGAAUCCCGUACGUGGUCGCUAGCCUUUACCGUGUAAAGCCCCUUCGACGAGUCGAGUUGUUUGGGAAUGCAGCUCUAAAUGGGAGGUAAAUUUCUUCUAAAGCUAAAUACUGGCCAGAGACCGAUAGCGCACAAGUAGAGUGAUCGAAAGAUGAAAAGCACUUUGGAAAGAGAGUUAAAAAGCACGUGAAAUUGUUGAAAGGGAAGCGCUUGCAGCCAGACUUGCCUGUAGUUGCUCAUCCGGGUUUUUACCCGGUGCACUCUUCUAUAGGCAGGCCAGCAUCAGUUUGGGCGGUUGGAUAAAGGUCUCUGUCAUGUACCUCUCUUCGGGGAGAACUUAUAGGGGAGACGACAUGCAACCAGCCUGGACUGAGGUCCGCGCAUCUGCUAGGAUGCUGGCGUAAUGGCUGUAAGCGGCCCGUCUUGAAACACGGACCAAGGAGUCUAACAUCUAUGCGAGUGUUUGGGUGUCAAGCCCGAGCGCGUAAUGAAAGUGAACGGAGGUGGGAACCUUUCGGGGUGCACCAUCGACCGAUCCUGAUGUCUUCGGAUGGAUUUGAGUAAGAGCAUAGCUGUUGGGACCCGAAAGAUGGUGAACUAUGCUUGAAUAGGGUGAAGCCAGAGGAAACUCUGGUGGAGGCUCGCAGCGGUUCUGACGUGCAAAUCGAUCGUCAAAUUUGGGCAUAGGGGCGAAAGACUAAUCGAACUAUCUAGUAGCGGGUUCCUGCCGAAGUUUCCCUCAGGAUAGCAG